Molecule: long non-coding RNA, 476 nt
Organism: Capsella rubella
Lineage: Eukaryota; Viridiplantae; Streptophyta; Magnoliopsida; Brassicales; Brassicaceae
Exons: 4
Source: RefSeq, a predicted model, not a curated record
ACAUAAAAAAAAAAAAGGCAUCCGUUUUUCAACUCUAGUUCCAUAGUGGAAUUCUGGGUUCCAUCUUUGAGUUAUUUCAUCUUCGCUUUGAGCUCCAUCUUUGAAUUCAACCUUCUCCGCACCUAAACGAUACACUCCACCUAACCAAAGGAACCAUUCUUCAAACCGGAGGAGAUCACGAGCUCUUUUGCAACGACAAGGAGUUAACGUUCAAGGCCUGGUUAAGACUUCUUCUUCUUCUAAAGAUGAACCAAAGCCAUACAUUGACGGAACUGGAAGCACAUGGCCAAAUUCAGAGCUAAACAAGCAGCCAAAGAUGUUGUGGAUCACCUGCAACUUCAACGUUUGCAAAUCUGAUCUGAGCACAGUUCAGUUUGAAAUGGGGUGGUCAGCGUGUAGCAACUAUGCUAAUGUAUUUAACCGAUGACGUUGAAGGAGGAGAAACUUAUUUUCCUUGGGACGUCGAGUUGUAACCC